AAAUUGAAGAGUUUGAUCAUGGCUCAGAUUGAACGCUGGCGGCAGGCCUAACACAUGCAAGUCGAACGGUAACAGGAAGCAGCUUGCUGCUUCGCUGACGAGUGGCGGACGGGUGAGUAAUGUCUGGGAAACUGCCUGAUGGAGGGGGAUAACUACUGGAAACGGUGGCUAAUACCGCAUAACGUCGCAAGACCAAAGAGGGGGACCUUCGGGCCUCUUGCCAUCAGAUGUGCCCAGAUGGGAUUAGCUUGUUGGUGAGGUAACGGCUCACCAAGGCGACGAUCCCUAGCUGGUCUGAGAGGAUGACCAGCCACACUGGAACUGAGACACGGUCCAGACUCCUACGGGAGGCAGCAGUGGGGAAUAUUGCACAAUGGGCGCAAGCCUGAUGCAGCCAUGCCGCGUGUAUGAAGAAGGCCUUCGGGUUGUAAAGUACUUUCAGCGGGGAGGAAGGUGUUGCGGUUAAUAACCGCAGCAAUUGACGUUACCCGCAGAAGAAGCACCGGCUAACUCCGUGCCAGCAGCCGCGGUAAUACGGAGGGUGCAAGCGUUAAUCGGAAUUACUGGGCGUAAAGCGCACGCAGGCGGUCUGUCAAGUCGGAUGUGAAAUCCCCGGGCUCAACCUGGGAACUGCAUUCGAAACUGGCAGGCUUGAGUCUUGUAGAGGG
This 668-nucleotide ribosomal RNA is filed under the name Salmonella enterica subsp. enterica serovar Infantis. RNAcentral describes it as "partial 16S ribosomal RNA". It matches the Rfam family "Bacterial small subunit ribosomal RNA", at positions 1 to 658 of the family's 1533-position model. Lineage: Bacteria; Pseudomonadati; Pseudomonadota; Gammaproteobacteria; Enterobacterales; Enterobacteriaceae. The record is from RNAcentral. RNAcentral also lists the same sequence under 1 other name.